GAUUGAACGCUGGCGGCAGGCCUAACACAUGCAAGUCGAGCGGAAACGACUUAUCUGAAGCUUCGGUGGACGAUAAGGGCGUCGAGCGGCGGACGGGUGAGUAAUGCUUAGGAAUUUGCCCAGUCGAGGGGGAAACAGUUGGAAACGACUGCUAAUACCGCAUACGCCCUACGGGGGAAAGGAGGGGAUGCUUCGGCACCUUCCGCGAUUGGAUAAGCCUAAGUGAGAUUAGCUAGUUGGUGGGGUAAAGGCUCACCAAGGCGACGAUCUCUAGCUGGUUUGAGAGGAUGAUCAGCCACACUGGGACUGAGACACGGCCCAGACUCCUACGGGAGGCAGCAGUGGGGAAUAUUGCACAAUGGGCGCAAGCCUGAUGCAGCCAUGCCGCGUGUGUGAAGAAGGCCUUCGGGUUGUAAAGCACUUUCAGCGAGGAGGAAAGGUUGAUGGUUAAUACCCAUCAGCUGUGACGUUACUCGCAGAAGAAGCACCGGCUAACUUCGUGCCAGCAGCCGCGGUAAUACGAGGGGUGCAAGCGUUAAUCGGAAUUACUGGGCGUAAAGCGCAUGCAGGCGGUUUGGUCAGUCAGAUGUGAAAGCCCCGGGCUCAACCUGGGAACUGCAUUUGAUACUGCCAAACUAGAGUCCUUGAGAGGGGGGUAGAAUUUCAGGUGUAGCGGUGAAAUGCGUAGAGAUCUGAGGGAAUACCAGUGGCGAAGGCGGCCCCCUGGCAAGAGACUGACGCUCAGAUGCGAAAGCGUGGGGAGCAAACAGGAUUAGAUACCGUGGUAGUCCACGCCGUAAACGAUGUCUAUUAGGAGGUUGUUCCCUUGAGGAGUGGCUUCCAAAGCUAACGCAUUAAAUAGACCGCCUGGGGAGUACGGCCGCAAGGUUAAAACUCAAAUGAAUUGACGGGGGCCCGCACAAGCGGUGGAGCAUGUGGUUUAAUUCGAUGCAACGCGAAGAACCUUACCUACUCUUGACAUCCAGAGAACUUUCCAGAGAUGGAUUGGUGCCUUCGGGAACUCUGAGACAGGUGCUGCAUGGCUGUCGUCAGCUCGUGUUGUGAAAUGUUGGGUUAAGUCCCGCAACGAGCGCAACCCUUGUCCUAUGUUGCCAGCACUUCGGGUGGGAACUCAUGGGAGACUGCCGGUGAUAAACCGGAGGAAGGUGGGGACGACGUCAAGUCAUCAUGGCCCUUACGAGUAGGGCUACACACGUGCUACAAUGGUCGAUACAAAGGGUUGCCAACCAGCAAUGGUGCGCUAAUCCCAUAAAGUCGGUCGUAGUCCGGAUUGGGGUCUGCAACUCGACCCCAUGAAGUCGGAAUCGCUAGUAAUCGUGGAUCAGAAUGCCACGGUGAAUACGUUCCCGGGCCUUGUACACACCGCCCGUCACACCAUGGGAGUGGGCUGCAAAAGAAGUGGGUAGUUUAACCUUCGGGAGGACGCUCACCACUUUGUGGUUCAUGACUGGGGU
Molecule: ribosomal RNA, 1475 nt
Filed under: uncultured bacterium
Lineage: Bacteria
Description: bacterial SSU rRNA
Rfam family: Bacterial small subunit ribosomal RNA
Source: RNAcentral